RNAcentral lists this small RNA (1696 nucleotides) under Caenorhabditis elegans. Its description in RNAcentral is "Unclassified non-coding RNA Y18D10A.33". Lineage: Eukaryota; Metazoa; Nematoda; Chromadorea; Rhabditida; Rhabditidae. The record is from RNAcentral.
GGAAUGAGAUCCAUCCUGCUACUCCUACUGGCGGCAUCCAUAGCUUCAGCUAUCUUUGCUCCUGGAGCCAGCGGAGGUUUUGGAGGUGGAGGUUUUGGGUCACGAUCAUCAUCAUCAUCAUCAGAAGAGGGACGAGGACAUCACGGUCACGGCCACGGCCACCAUCAUGGAAGACCCCCACGGCCACGUCCACCACGUCCGCCAGUAUCAAGAGAACCCGAAUGUCCAAGUGAUUGGUUGUCGUUUGACAGACCUCAGGGAGUCUGGUGUGUCAAGGUGAGCGAGCUACAAGUGCUAGCUCUUUAUAGUUUGUAGUCUUACAGGUCUUCUAUGAAUCACUCACUCAGCCCAUCGCCGAGAGUAGGUGCCAGGCACAAGGGGCCACAUUGUCCGGAUACCAGAAUGCCAAUGAGCGAAUGCAAGUUUCAUGUGAGAUUUGUAGUUGUUGUAGGCUGGGACCUAUCAACCAUUAUCACGAGGUGCCAGGCUGUCCAAUUACGGAUUGAUCUACAAAAAAUGCGGGAAUUUUGUGCCCAGCAAAAAUAUGUGACGUCAGCACGUUCUUAACCAUGCAAAAUCAGUUAAAAACUCUGCGUCUAUUCUCCCGCAUUUUUUGUAGAUCUACGUAGAUCAAGCCGAAAUGAGACACACUUUGACACCACGUGGAAAAUCGGACUAACGGGUAUCCGAAAUCUGGGCAAUACAGUGUCUAUUUUUAAGGUGAUACCGAGGUUUUUCCAUAAUUUUUGAUUUGCUACAAUGCUAUGGCACACGUGGAGUCAGAAAGUCCCAUUUCGAUUUGAUCUUCAAAAAAUGCGGGAGGGGAGACGCAGACAUCUCAACUGAUUUCGCAUGGUUAAGAGCGUGCUGACGUCACAACUUUUCUGGAAAAAUAUUUCCGCAUUUUUUGUAGAUCAAACUGUAAUGAGACAGCCUGACACCACGUGAUGGCACUGUUUCUUCUGGUAAAUUAUAUGAAAACUCAAAAAAUGAACUUUGAAAAACCGGAUGUCCGGUUUCCUAGACGAAAUUUUAUUUUACUGGAAACACUUCAGACGCUGCUCGUACACUUACAAACCAGAAUGGAGGUGGCUUAGCCGAAGUUUGGGUUGGAGCCUAUAGAAAAGCUAGAUGUCCAAAUAAACCUUCAUGUACCCCUCUUGACACUUUCGAAUGGACUGAUGGACAUACAACUGGUACUGAUGGAUUCCAUUAUCCGGGUACCGAGCCAAAUGGAUAUGUCAACGAACAUGGGUUAGUACAGAUUUUAACUACUAGUUUAUAAAUCGUAAAGUUACAUGGAGCUCUUUUCAGACUUUUUUUUGAGCCGCAGAGCACCUCUCUAAGCCUAAAUCUCGGCUUGUCAAGCUAAUAAGCCUAAGCCUGAACCAAAGCCUGAGCCUACUUCUAAGCCUAAGCCUCUGCCUAAGCCUAAGCCUAUGCCUCACAGCUUGAGCCUAAUCCAAAGCCUAAGCUUAAGCCUAGGCCUAAAACCUUUAAAAUUUCAGGGUUACCUAAAUUAAAUUCAUUCCAUUUUAUUUCUAUAAUAUUCAGACAACAAUAUUGUAUGGAAAUGCAUAUUCACCCGAGCUCUGACACUGAAGCGGCUCGCUACGGAUAUCAUCAAGGAGAUUUGGAUGAUAUGCUUUGUGUUGUACCGGUCAGACUCUAUGCAUGUGGAAAAGUACCCGAACAA